Molecule: ribosomal RNA, 254 nt
Filed under: uncultured bacterium
Lineage: Bacteria
Description: partial 16S ribosomal RNA
Rfam family: Bacterial small subunit ribosomal RNA
Source: RNAcentral
UACGUAGGGGGCGAGCGUUGUCCGGAUUUAUUGGGCGUAAAGAGCUCGUAGGCGGCCAACUAAGUCAGACGUGAAAUCCCUCGGCUUAACCGGGGAACUGCGUCUGAUACUGGAUGGCUUGAGUUUGGGAGAGGGAUGCGGAAUUCCAGGUGUAGCGGUGAAAUGCGUAGAUAUCUGGAGGAACACCGGUGGCGAAGGCGGCAUCCUGGACCAACACUGACGCUGAGUGAGCGAAAGCCAGGGGAGCAAACGGG